AGUGAACGCUGGCGGUAGGCCUAACACAUGCAAGUCGAACGGCAGCACAGUAAGAGCUUGCUCUUACGGGUGGCGAGUGGCGGACGGGUGAGGAAUACAUCGGAAUCUACUUUUUCGUGGGGGAUAACGUAGGGAAACUUACGCUAAUACCGCAUACGACCUACGGGUGAAAGCAGGGGAUCUUCGGACCUUGCGCGAUUGAAUGAGCCGAUGUCGGAUUAGCUAGUUGGCGGGGUAAAGGCCCACCAAGGCGACGAUCCGUAGCUGGUCUGAGAGGAUGAUAGGCCACAUUGGAACUGAGACAGGGACAAGAGUACUAAGGGAGGCAGCAGUGGGGAAUAUUGGACAAUGGGCGCAAGCCUGAUCCAGCCAUACCGAGUGGGUGAAGAAGGCCUUCGGGUUGUAAAGCCCUUUUGUUGGGAAAGAAAAGCAGCAGGUUAAUACCCCGCUGUUCUGACGGUACCCAAAAAAUAAGCACCGGCUAACUUCGUG
This 492-nucleotide ribosomal RNA is filed under the name uncultured bacterium. Its description in RNAcentral is "partial 16S ribosomal RNA". It matches the Rfam family "Bacterial small subunit ribosomal RNA", at positions 29 to 507 of the family's 1533-position model. The record is from RNAcentral.